This 1469-nucleotide ribosomal RNA is filed under the name uncultured prokaryote. RNAcentral's name for it is "partial 16S ribosomal RNA". It matches the Rfam family "Bacterial small subunit ribosomal RNA". The record is from RNAcentral.
AGAGUUUGAUCCUGGCUCAGAAUGAACGCUGGCGGCAUGGAUUAGGCAUGCAAGUCGCACGCUCACUUCGGUGAGAGUGGCGAAAGGGUGAGUAACGCGUGAGCAACCUACCCCUAAGUUUGGAACAACUGUUGGAAACGACAGCUAAUACCGGAUGUGGUUAUUUUUUCGAUUGUUUAAAUAACUAAAGGUUUACCGCUUAGGGAUGGGCUCGCGUCCCAUUAGUUAGUUGGUGAGGUAAUGGCUCACCAAGACUUUGACGGAUAGGUGGUCUGAGAGGAUGGUCACCCACACUGGGACUGAGAUACUGCCCAGACUCCUGCGGGAGGCUGCAGUCGAGAAUCUUCCGCAAUGCGCGAAAGCGUGACGGAGCAAUGCCGCGUGAAGGAUGAAGGCUUUCGGGUCGUAAACUUCUGUCAAGGGGGACGAAAUUUGACUGUACCCCUAGAGGAAGCCACGGCUAACUACGUGCCAGCAGCCGCGGUAAUACGUAGGUGGCGAGCGUUAUUCGGAUUUACUGGGCGUAAAGGGUUCGUAGGGUGUUAUGUAAGUUUGAUGUGAAAUGCCGCAGCUCAACUGCGGAACUGCAUUGGAAACUGUUUUUCUUGAAUCAGGUAGAGGUAAGUGGAAUUCGUGGUGUAGCGGUGGAAUGCGUAGAUAUCACGAGGAACUCCAAAGGCGAAAGCAGCUUACUGGGCCGAUAUUGACCCUGAGGGACGAAAGCUAAGGUAGCGAAAAGGAUUAGAUACCCUUGUAGUCCUGGCAGUAAACGUUGUACACCAGAUGGUGGGGGAUUCAGCCCCUUCACUGUUCAAGCUAACGCGAUGAGUGUACCGCCUGGGAAGUACGGUCGCAAGACUAAAACUCAAAGGAAUUGACGGGGGCCCGCACAAGCGGUGGAGCAUGUGGUUUAAUUCGAUGCAACGCGAAGAACCUUACCUGGGUUUGACAUAUAUAUGACCGCUCCCGAAAUGGAGUUUCUCUUCGGAGCAUAUAUACAGGUGCUGCAUGGCUGUCGUCAGCUCGUGCCGUGAGGUGUUCGGUUAAGUCCGGCAACGAGCGCAACCCAUAUCUUUAGUUGCUAACAAGUAAUGUUGAGGACUCUAGAGAGACUGCCCGUGUUAAGCGGGAGGAAGGCGUGGACGACGUCAAGUCAGUAUGGCCCUUACACCCAGGGCUGCACACGUGCUACAAUGGUCGAUACAAUGGGCAGCAAUACCGCGAGGUGGAGCUAAUCCUCAAAAUCGACCCCAGUUCGGAUUGGAGUCUGCAACUCGACUCCAUGAAGUCGGAAUCGCUAGUAAAUGCGUAUCAGCUACGACGCAUUGAAUACGUUCCCGGGCCUUGUACACACCGCCCGUCACAUCACGGGAGCUGAAUGCACCCGAAGUCGUUGUACCAACUCGCUUGCGAGAGGAAGGCGUCGAAGGUGUGCUCAGUGACUGGGAUGAAGUCGUAACAAGGUAACC